UGCACGCCUAAUCGCCUAAUUUUCUUCGAGUGAUCUGGAUGCCGUACUCUUGGGCUGUGGAACAUUUUAUAAAUAGCUGUGCUUGGAGUUAAUAUGAUUUACUGGAGAGAGACCGGUUAAGCAAUUCCCCACCUAAGUAGAGCAGUAAUGAACAGGCUCUGGAGAAGAUGCCUUCCCCACCGGCCUUGAGAGGGGUGGGCAGGGAAGCGGGGAUGCAGAGGGACGAUGUUUAUUUGUGUGCGUGCACAGAGUGUCAUUGAUUUUUAAUUGUAUUAAAAGCACUGCAGUAGCCACAGGCUGCCUCUAGGACUGGACUUUUCCCUCCCAUAUGCGCUGGGAAGCUGUGGCCUCUCUUUCCUGCUAAAGGCUUGCUGCCUUCACAAAAUCCCAUUGCGGGCGUGAGUGAGGAUGGCAGAACCCUGACCGAACAGCACAGCCCUCCCCCUUGUCCAUCCACCAGGGAGGGGACAGACAAUCCAUGUUUGGCCGGGGGACUCAGCAGUGCCUGGGAAUACAGGAGAGUGGAUGGCAGCGAUGCUCCUGCCAACACCAAUGGCAUUGAGAAUGCAGCGAGAGCAGCACUGGGGUCUUGUGUCUUCUCUCCCCAUCCUCAGACAAAAGUCACACUGGGAUAAUGCCCCAGGGCUUGGUGGAGCAGUUCUGGGAGCAGGAGGGGCUCUCCAGCAAAUGAAGGGGUAAGAAGAAGCUUAGAGACCACAACAGAGACUUCUCAGCUUAGAAAACAAGAAAAGGAGAAAAUAGAUCAGCUUCAAAGCAAAAAGCAGUGGAGAAAUUGCAGGAAAGCUGCCCAAGGCCAGACCUAUCUCCAUGCAGCAGCCAUCAGAGGCUGUGAAUGAGAACAACACUCUCCCCAUUGUAACAGAGAAGCUCGAUGCUCAUGGACAUACAGAAGGCAGGGGACACUUAGCCCUGUGCAGGGACAGAGAGAGAGGUCCCAGCCCACAGGGCUCACCCUGGCCCGGACACCAUUUAGUCACUGCCCCCUGGGGAAAGGACAGAGCCUCAAACCAACCCAUGGCAACAAGCUGCCCCUAUCCAUAAGGCAGCAUCCCUGGGAGUGGGACCACGUGUGCUGCAGCAUGGGGGCUCAGUCCUGCUCCCAGCCCCGCUCAGACUGCGGCACCCACCGGGAUCCCCAGCAGCUACCGGCCGUCAGCCACAUCCCCACGAGGUGCCUGGGGGAAGUUUGGCUGCUAACCAUGUUGCUGAUUGGUAUAGCCAAAUACCUACCUCUAAGGGAAAAGAAAAAAACUGAAAAAGCCUUUCUCCAGCACGGAGACACAAGCAACGACAGGGGAAGCAGGUAAUUAGCUAUGUGAUGGAGCAAUCCGCUCCUGCCGAGGAAAUUCUUGGCACCGGAAUUCUGCCACAUGAGAACAUGUGUGUACCCAAGUGAGGAUCGAUUUAUUUUAUUUUCUUAUUUGCUUCAUUUAUACAUUUUUUAAUGAAGAUCAUUAUAUGUUUUUUAAAUGUCAAAUGCAGGAGAACUGGAAGGGGUGGGGGUGGGGGAACUGUGGGCAUUCUUCACUUCAGAAGCCUGAAUGUUUCAAAGUUGCUGCUGUGCUGUUAGCUGACGGCUAUUGUGUGUGUUUAAGGCUGGGGGGGCGCAAGGAGGGGGCUCUGACCCCCCGUUGGUGUGGAUUUGCUGUCCAAAGACCGUUAGAAAGAGGCAGAAUGAAUGAGAUUGAAUGGAAUUGUAAUGCACAAGGCCCUCCUCCUUUCUCAAGGAGCUGGGAGGCCAGGAAAGCGAGUCGUGGGGAGAGCAGGCAGCUUUCUUACACAUAGGAAGAGGCUUUGCAAAUCAUCAAAUGGUCGGCCGAGAAGACCAAAAGGAGAAAAAGAGAGAGAGAAAGAGGGAGAGAGGAGACUUGAUAGAAAAAUCUGAUUCCCAAAACUCUUCUUGCCUACACAAAAACAGCAUCCUGAGCCACGGGAGGGCGUUUGCAUUGGAUCUGAGCGAGGCAGCAGAGUUUGUGCCGCCGGAGCCACAGCGCGCUGCUUCCACUGGAGUGGCCUCACUCUUUUCUUGUGCAGAGGCUCAGAGCGCAGCCCGCUGCGCUGCGGGGUCACAACGCGGGGCCGUGGUACCGUCCCCUUUGCACCCCGACAACGCGCAGAAUUAAAUCACGAGCCCGCUUUUGCUUCUCCGAAAGCCGAAUGGGUGCAGCGACGUGAGGGGCUGCAGCAUCACAGCCGCCCCGGUGCCACCUCCGCCGCCGCGCCGUCACCGCAGCCUCAAGGUGAGACGCGGCCCCUUCCGCAGUUUCCCCGCGGCGGUUCGUAGGUUAGCCUUCAGACCUCAAUAAAUCUCUUUGUAAGACUCGUGUUUUCAGCUUCCUAAAGACACGCCGAGCCCCAAGUCCUGAGCCUCCUGAGCGCUGUACUCACGCAAGGGAAUAUCUCAUUAUUUGGCCGUGUAGCUGGAUUCAGCCGCACACCCUCCGCACCCCCUCCCCUCUUCAUCUCUGCUCCACUUUUAUCAGCAUUGCGUCUGUCCGAGGAAGUGAAUCCAUAGACAGCUCCAUCCUCCAUCCCUGCAGUGGCUGACGUGGGACGCACCACCUUGUCUGCGACAGAGAUGCCGGUAGCAGAGCGUUUUCCUUGUUUAGGAGAGGGGCAAGAACACCCCUACUGCACCUUGCGGGAUUGCUUGGUUUCACGCUCGCCUGUGAAAAGCAGGCGCCUUUAGGGAGGGCUCCUGGGGGAAGAGGGACGAGGAAAGGGAAGAAGCACCGGAGGACACUGCGUGGCGGUGAGGAAGGGAGCUGCCCAGCUCUCGAGGCUGUUCUGCAGCAGACGCGUCGCACGAACGAGCAGUUGGGAACGGGUGUUGCCUGCAGCCCUGGGAAGAGGCAGCAGUGAGGAAGCACGCGAUGCCCAUACGGCUACAUCCAGCGGUGCGGCAAUCCGCUCCUCCUGCGGACCUGAUCCUGAGCGUUGCUCCAGCAAGGCCAGGUAUCGUGUAACUGCAGACACGCUUGGGGCGAGUGGCUGUGAGGCACGGGCAGCCCCAAACUCACCAGGAGGGCUCUUGAGGCACAGAGGUGUGUAAGAGAAGCUGGAUUUUCCCCAUUCCCUUUCCCAGUAGAUCAGCGCAAGCAGCAAGGUGUUGGAGACCUGCUUGCUCUCACGUCCGUCAAGCACUGCAAGGCUGCAGGACACAUUUUUGACCUCAUUUGCCCCCACCAUAAAUCAGGGGCUAAGUGGUGAUGUGCUCACUGCUGGGGUCGGGACAUCUGCACCACCCUGGCCUCUCUGGUGCACACUGGGGGGCAGAUUGCCAGUCAAGGGGCUAUUCUGCUCUUGAAAUGCCUGGUUCUUUGCAAAAUAGGUAUAGAGGGAUAAGGAGCCAAGUUCAGGGAGCCAGGCCCCUCUAAACCAAAAACGGCCUCAGGGACAGAAGGGAGCAAGCCACGAGGCAAUCUGCAGUGCAGCAGGAAAGCUGCUGGCUCCCUCCAGGGGCCACCAAGAAGCCAAGGACAGCUCUGCAAGAUGCAGGUAAUGGGGAGCUGCCAGGGCCAAUCUGCACUGGGCCUGGUUCCCGACACUGGGGUGUGAAGGGGAUCAUGGAUCGAGACCCACUGUGUCAAGACGGUGCCAGCCAGCUCCUGCUCCUGGACCAGAAUCCUGUCCAGGUUUGCAGAGGAGGGAGCGCAUGGACUCUGCAGCACAAGGGACUACUAUGAUGCACAAACACUCCCUCCUCUCCCGAGAUUCCUAUGGUCCCCCUUCCAAGACAAGAGGGAAAUCAAAGAGGUCAGGUGUCUCAGACUAAACCUUCUUUCUCACACACAAAGUGCCCUCGAACGCAAGCACGCACAUUUCUCCAGUGUCCCCAGGCUGCAGCUGGGGCUCUGUAGGAUUGCCCUGAGCGCACUCCCCACUGCAGCGUGGCUACACAGCCGUGAGCCCAGAGUCUGCUGUGCUGCAUUGAGCUUGUCACGAUUGCAUACAUUCUGCAGUCACAAGAGAUGAGAGCACAAGGCAGCGAGUCAGAUCAGCUGCAGCUGGGGGAGGGAGAAGCAGGAAAGGCUGGGGACAAGCAGCCAUGGUCUCGCUUUGCACGUCUCCUUCUCGUAUACCGACCCCUGCUUGUUUAGGUAAGCCAGGACCCAAAUGCCAGAUGACGGCCAAUGUACGUCCAUAAAAAAAUACCCCUCUCUCAUCCACCGUGCUUUGUGCUCAGCAAUGGGAUCCCACGUGCUCAGGGAUGCAGUCCCACCUCUGUGCCAAAGGCAGCCCAUGAGACCUGGCUGCCUGCCAUCCUGCAGUGGCCCCCAGAUGGGGUCUCACUGUGCCCGGGUUCAGCUGGGGGCAGCUCCCCGGGCCAUACACCCUGCAGCCCCAGAGCUGCACUGUCAGCCACAGCCCUGACAUCCUGCCACAGAGCCACCUCCAGCACCGGGCACAUAUUCAGAAGGAGGAUUUAUCCAAGAGCAGAUGCACUCCUGGGCCACUCGUGGCUUUAGUGGAGCCAAGUCCUGUUUUCUGAUGGAAAAACCCCGGGAAAUAGGAACUGCGCUUUGUAACAGAGGGGUUGGGUAAGGCCAUUCUAUGACUAAGUCACCACAAAGGGCAAAUUGCCACUUUAUUUUCUCUGUGGGGUUGCCCCACACUCAGGAGAGCUACACAAUUUCCCUCACAAGGGGAAAGCACAGCAGGAUCCAAGCUGAGGGCAAGGAGGAAGGUUGGCCUUCACCCCCCCCCCCCCCCCAAGCACCCCUUCCUCGCAGUACACAAAGCACCGGUUCCCAUCCCUCAUUCACAGGCCAGCUGGCCAGGGAGCAGCUUUACGUAUGACUGCUUCAUCCUAUACAAAUCCUGCCAUCAGUCAUUAAAGACAGAUUAAAACAAAAAAAAAAAAUACAUGUCUGUGCUCUCGAAUCACCACGUAGCAGAUGGAGCUGUCCUGCAUCCCCCUGCAUGUGCCAGGAGGGCCCCGGGUUUGGGAUAUGCUGAGAAAUACACGGACGGGUUGCAGAUGGGAUAAGGAGAAACAAAUGUGGGCAGAUGAGUGAUAUCAAAGGGUGAACUUAAAAAGAAAGAGGUUAAGGGAAAGAUGUUAACAGUCAAGUGCUUAAGAAGCUGCAGUAAGGGGAGGGGACGAUGUGCCUUCCUAUAGCGAUAUAGGUAGGAACGGGCUGAACCUGAAGCAGAAAUCAUUCGGGUAGUAGGAAAAGAGCUUUGCAGUGGAAAGGAUGCAGAAGCACUGGAGCAGCCUGGGAAGGAGGAGAAAUUCCCAUCUGGGGGAGGUACGGGGGAAGGGCCUGGCAGCACUCCCUGUGCAGUGCUGGUCUCAGCAGUCCUAUGCAGGCAUCCCCAGCACACAAAGUGACUGCUCCACUGGCAUCACGCACCCAUCUGCCCCAGAACUGAAUAUCUCCCUCCUGCCAACCCCCUCCCCUCCCAUCCAUCUUUACCUUCUUUCCCGGAGCCGAAGUGUUUCUGUGUCACCACAGAGACCUGGAAAGGGAUGGCAGAAGGCAGUGCCUGUAAAAGCCCAGGGCUGCUGUCCUGCUUUGAGAACAGGGCAGAGGCAUCCCGACAGCAGCGAUCGAAUUCAAGGUGUCAUUGUCCUUUUCUUCCAGAAAGGUAAGAGCUUUCCAGAAAGACUCACAGCUCCAGGCUGCUGCGCCAGGUGUACAAUAAGAUCAAGCCCACAGAAUCAAUCCAGUUUGGGGUUAUUCCCUCACCCAAUUUGUCCCACGCCAGCUCAAAACCGACCGAUUAAGCUCUAAUACCCCCAGGUGAUGUAUCCCAAAUGCCAUCCCGGAGGGACCGCUGUUUUCUCUGCUCUCCUAAUAGGCCCCUUUCUGUGAGCAGCACACCUUGUUGGGUGCGUUUGCAGAAAUAGGAAAUCAGAGGUAACCCGAUGUGUACAGGAGGGCAUCGGCUGUAAGGCAGGUACACAUAUGGCCGUGUCUUGAAGAUGACAUGCGCAGGGGACCUGCAGAAUCAGAGAAGCAUUCAGAGAAGUUGCUCAAGGAUCCUGCCCUCCAUCUGCCCCUCUCUCCGGAGGGGUUUUGGGGUUGUCAGGAACAUUCACCUCACCUGCAGCACAGCUUUCCCAGCCCGGGCUGUGUGCUCUGAGCCUAAGCUAAGGGGCUCUGUCCAUGGGGACGGCCUCUCCACUGCACAGUCCGUGCUGCAGAGCGGCUCUCCCCAUCACACAAUGGCUGCAGGGCCAUUACAGCACAAGGAUCACCUUCAGGAGGUGUUCUCGUAGCCCUGCAGGUAACUCCACCGGCAGCUGCUUGAGCAGGCAGCACCUUCUUAAAUUCCUAUCGCCCUUCUCACAAAGGAAGAGCCGAGACAAAACCGGUUCCUGCUUAAGCGGAGGAAACAAUAGCGGGACAAAGCCACACUCCGUGCUGCAAAGGCGCGGGUGGCCGCAGGAUGGCACUCCUGCCGCUUGUCCUUGAGGGACGGGAGAGCUGUGCCGGG
Molecule: long non-coding RNA, 6465 nt
Filed under: Gallus gallus (chicken)
Lineage: Eukaryota; Metazoa; Chordata; Aves; Galliformes; Phasianidae
Description: lncRNA (ENSGALG00010025352.1)
Source: RNAcentral